Molecule: ribosomal RNA, 2925 nt
Filed under: Escherichia coli
Lineage: Bacteria; Pseudomonadati; Pseudomonadota; Gammaproteobacteria; Enterobacterales; Enterobacteriaceae
Description: partial 23S ribosomal RNA
Rfam family: Bacterial large subunit ribosomal RNA
Source: RNAcentral
GGGUUGUGAGGUUAAGCGACUAAGCGUACACGGUGGAUGCCCUGGCAGUCAGAGGCGAUGAAGGACGUGCUAAUCUGCGAUAAGCGUCGGUAAGGUGAUAUGAACCGUUAUAACCGGCGAUUUCCGAAUGGGGAAACCCAGUGUGUUUCGACACACUAUCAUUAACUGAAUCCAUAGGUUAAUGAGGCGAACCGGGGGAACUGAAACAUCUAAGUACCCCGAGGAAAAGAAAUCAACCGAGAUUCCCCCAGUAGCGGCGAGCGAACGGGGAGCAGCCCAGAGCCUGAAUCAGUGUGUGUGUUAGUGGAAGCGUCUGGAAAGGCGCGCGAUACAGGGUGACAGCCCCGUACACAAAAAUGCACAUACUGUGAGCUCGAUGAGUAGGGCGGGACACGUGGUAUCCUGUCUGAAUAUGGGGGGACCAUCCUCCAAGGCUAAAUACUCCUGACUGACCGAUAGUGAACCAGUACCGUGAGGGAAAGGCGAAAAGAACCCCGGCGAGGGGAGUGAAAAAGAACCUGAAACCGUGUACGUACAAGCAGUGGGAGCACGCUUAGGCGUGUGACUGCGUACCUUUUGUAUAAUGGGUCAGCGACUUAUAUUCUGUAGCAAGGUUAACCGAAUAGGGGAGCCGAAGGGAAACCGAGUCUUAACUGGGCGUUAAGUUGCAGGGUAUAGACCCGAAACCCGGUGAUCUAGCCAUGGGCAGGUUGAAGGUUGGGUAACACUAACUGGAGGACCGAACCGACUAAUGUUGAAAAAUUAGCGGAUGACUUGUGGCUGGGGGUGAAAGGCCAAUCAAACCGGGAGAUAGCUGGUUCUCCCCGAAAGCUAUUUAGGUAGCGCCUCGUGAAUUCAUCUCCGGGGGUAGAGCACUGUUUCGGCAAGGGGGUCAUCCCGACUUACCAACCCGAUGCAAACUGCGAAUACCGGAGAAUGUUAUCACGGGAGACACACGGCGGGUGCUAACGUCCGUCGUGAAGAGGGAAACAACCCAGACCGCCAGCUAAGGUCCCAAAGUCAUGGUUAAGUGGGAAACGAUGUGGGAAGGCCCAGACAGCCAGGAUGUUGGCUUAGAAGCAGCCAUCAUUUAAAGAAAGCGUAAUAGCUCACUGGUCGAGUCGGCCUGCGCGGAAGAUGUAACGGGGCUAAACCAUGCACCGAAGCUGCGGCAGCGACGCUGAUGCGUUGUUGGGUAGGGGAGCGUUCUGUAAGCCUGCGAAGGUGUGCUGUGAGGCAUGCUGGAGGUAUCAGAAGUGCGAAUGCUGACAUAAGUAACGAUAAAGCGGGUGAAAAGCCCGCUCGCCGGAAGACCAAGGGUUCCUGUCCAACGUUAAUCGGGGCAGGGUGAGUCGACCCCUAAGGCGAGGCCGAAAGGCGUAGUCGAUGGGAAACAGGUUAAUAUUCCUGUACUUGGUGUUACUGCGAAGGGGGGACGGAGAAGGCUAUGUUGGCCGGGCGACGGUUGUCCCGGUUUAAGCGUGUAGGCUGGUUUUCCAGGCAAAUCCGGAAAAUCAAGGCUGAGGCGUGAUGACGAGGCACUACGGUGCUGAAGCAACAAAUGCCCUGCUUCCAGGAAAAGCCUCUAAGCAUCAGGUAACAUCAAAUCGUACCCCAAACCGACACAGGUGGUCAGGUAGAGAAUACCAAGGCGCUUGAGAGAACUCGGGUGAAGGAACUAGGCAAAAUGGUGCCGUAACUUCGGGAGAAGGCACGCUGAUAUGUAGGUGAAGUCCCUCGCGGAUGGAGCUGAAAUCAGUCGAAGAUACCAGCUGGCUGCAACUGUUUAUUAAAAACACAGCACUGUGCAAACACGAAAGUGGACGUAUACGGUGUGACGCCUGCCCGGUGCCGGAAGGUUAAUUGAUGGGGUCAGCGCAAGCGAAGCUCUUGAUCGAAGCCCCGGUAAACGGCGGCCGUAACUAUAACGGUCCUAAGGUAGCGAAAUUCCUUGUCGGGUAAGUUCCGACCUGCACGAAUGGCGUAAUGAUGGCCAGGCUGUCUCCACCCGAGACUCAGUGAAAUUGAACUCGCUGUGAAGAUGCAGUGUACCCGCGGCAAGACGGAAAGACCCCGUGAACCUUUACUAUAGCUUGACACUGAACAUUGAGCCUUGAUGUGUAGGAUAGGUGGGAGGCUUUGAAGUGUGGACGCCAGUCUGCAUGGAGCCGACCUUGAAAUACCACCCUUUAAUGUUUGAUGUUCUAACGUUGACCCGUAAUCCGGGUUGCGGACAGUGUCUGGUGGGUAGUUUGACUGGGGCGGUCUCCUCCUAAAGAGUAACGGAGGAGCACGAAGGUUGGCUAAUCCUGGUCGGACAUCAGGAGGUUAGUGCAAUGGCAUAAGCCAGCUUGACUGCGAGCGUGACGGCGCGAGCAGGUGCGAAAGCAGGUCAUAGUGAUCCGGUGGUUCUGAAUGGAAGGGCCAUCGCUCAACGGAUAAAAGGUACUCCGGGGAUAACAGGCUGAUACCGCCCAAGAGUUCAUAUCGACGGCGGUGUUUGGCACCUCGAUGUCGGCUCAUCACAUCCUGGGGCUGAAGUAGGUCCCAAGGGUAUGGCUGUUCGCCAUUUAAAGUGGUACGCGAGCUGGGUUUAGAACGUCGUGAGACAGUUCGGUCCCUAUCUGCCGUGGGCGCUGGAGAACUGAGGGGGGCUGCUCCUAGUACGAGAGGACCGGAGUGGACGCAUCACUGGUGUUCGGGUUGUCAUGCCAAUGGCACUGCCCGGUAGCUAAAUGCGGAAGAGAUAAGUGCUGAAAGCAUCUAAGCACGAAACUUGCCCCGAGAUGAGUUCUCCCUGACUCCUUGAGAGUCCUGAAGGAACGUUGAAGACGACGACGUUGAUAGGCCGGGUGUGUAAGCGCAGCGAUGCGUUGAGCUAACCGGUACUAAUGAACCGUGAGGCUUAACCUUACAACGCCGAAG